AUGGUACAACAGAUUUGCCAGAACCAAAUCCUUCGAAGAAAGGAAACUGCUGGAAUGUCUCAGUCUGGUGAUUGGUUGAGCACAAAUCUGGCGCAGCUAUGCCUCACAGAAGUGCAUAUUCUUCCUUUGGCUCUAUCAUCGCCGGUGUCUCCCGUGCGCCGCUCUGCUUCUCCGAAGACACGUCAUCGACAGUGCUGCAUGUCUGUUCUGUGGCAAAUACGAGACCUUGGAGCACCUGUUGUUCAAUUGCGUGCACGCUCGUGCCAUCUAGGCUCCUGGUCUCCGGCUUCCCCCUUGGUUGAAGCCCUGUGUUCCUCCCGGACCGCCCGGUUCCCUGAACCGCCUUGCCUGUGCUUUACUGCCUGCACUACUGUCCUCUGGAAUGUUUGGAAGAGCCAGAACGCCAAGGUCUUCCGUGAUCAAAGUCUCCCCCCGCUCGACAUGGUCGACAACAUUUCUGCAGACGUCUGA
RNAcentral lists this ribosomal RNA (471 nucleotides) under Triticum aestivum (bread wheat). RNAcentral's name for it is "partial small subunit ribosomal RNA". Lineage: Eukaryota; Viridiplantae; Streptophyta; Magnoliopsida; Poales; Poaceae. The record is from RNAcentral.